RNAcentral lists this ribosomal RNA (393 nucleotides) under Triticum aestivum (bread wheat). RNAcentral's name for it is "partial small subunit ribosomal RNA". Lineage: Eukaryota; Viridiplantae; Streptophyta; Magnoliopsida; Poales; Poaceae. The record is from RNAcentral.
AUGACCAUAACGGAGGCGAUCGGAUGCUUGCGGACGUGGGAAGAGAAUGCUCGUGGAUGUCGGAAAGGCAAAGGAGGAGGUGAUGACCAACUCAUGUACUCACGCGCAGAUUGGGAGUCCCCAAGUAGCAAAGGAAGGCGCAACAUUGGCGAAGGCUCAAGCAACGCGAAGCGCGGCGGACAAACCGAAGAAAGCAAAGGAAAAGACAAGGCACAAGGUCGUGGUAAGGCGGACCGGUCUAAAGAGCGGAAGCCACGGAACUUGGAUAUGUCUGAGGUCAAGUGCUAUAACUGCAACGAGAUGGGUCACUUUGCGAAGGAUUGUCCGGAGCCUAACAAGCGGGAGAUCAAAGCAAAUUUGGCGAAGCAGGAAGACGAACGCCAGGUCUUCUGA